AGGACCGUGAGUUAGGAAAAAUAUCAGAGUUUAGAAACACCGGAUUUUAUUUAAAAUGAUGGAAUAAAUUCCAUGUUUUACAAAGGUAGCUUUUAAUAAAAAUAAUAUUUCUUAAUUUGAAAAUAAGCCACUUCUUGAAGUCCUUUAGUGUCGGAUCCAAUCCUUGCUCCAAUCUAUUGUAAUUACCUGAAACGCGUUUUAAAAAGAUUUUGUCAGCGGGAAAUACUGAGUGAAUUAUUCUAGUUUCUGAAAAUGACACAUUUAUUAUAAUUCACAGUGAUAAGAUCUUUUACAAUGUAUCCUGAUAUCAACCAACUACCCACAUCUAAAUACUAUCAGAUGUGCUACCAGUUAAGUUAAUAGCAAUUUCCUAACUCUUAUAUUUAAGCUUAAGUAUUGUUAUCACAACACUUAUAGGCUUAAAGUAGUGGCUUAGCUCUGAUACCACCUUCUGUCACGACCCCCGACCCCAUCUAGCCGGAAUCGGUGCCGUGAGCAGUCCAGUGGUACCGGUGAUUAUUUUAAAAACAUUGCAGCGGAAAUUUCAUCAGGACCGUGAGUUAGGAAAAAUAUCAGAGU
RNAcentral lists this long non-coding RNA (579 nucleotides) under Helianthus annuus (common sunflower). The record is from RNAcentral. Lineage: Eukaryota; Viridiplantae; Streptophyta; Magnoliopsida; Asterales; Asteraceae.